GACGAAGGGGGCUAGCGUUGUUCGGAAUCACUGGGCGUAAAGGGCGCGUAGGUGGUGGCUUAAGCGUGCGGUGAAAGCUCGGAGCUCAACUCCGAGUCGGCCGUGCGAACUGGGCUCACUGGAGCAUAGUAGAGGCAGGUGGAAUUCCGGGUGUAGCGGUGGAAUGCGUAGAGAUCCGGAAGAACACCGGUGGCGAAGGCGGCCUGCUGGGCUAUGGCUGACACUGAGGCGCGACAGCGUGGGGAGCAAACAGG
This 254-nucleotide ribosomal RNA is filed under the name uncultured bacterium. RNAcentral's name for it is "partial 16S ribosomal RNA". It matches the Rfam family "Bacterial small subunit ribosomal RNA", at positions 524 to 776 of the family's 1533-position model. The record is from RNAcentral.